GCCGGGAUGGCGGAAUAGGUAGACGCACGGGACUCAAAAUCCCGCGCCGCAAGGCGUGCCGGUUCGAUUCCGGCUCCCGGCACCA
Molecule: transfer RNA, 85 nt
Filed under: Acinetobacter baumannii
Lineage: Bacteria; Pseudomonadati; Pseudomonadota; Gammaproteobacteria; Moraxellales; Moraxellaceae
Also listed under: 63 other names
Description: tRNA-Leu
Rfam family: tRNA
About the family: Transfer RNA (tRNA) molecules are approximately 80 nucleotides in length. Their secondary structure includes four short double-helical elements and three loops (D, anti-codon, and T loops).
Source: RNAcentral